ACGGGUGAGUAAUGUCUGGGGAUCUGCCCGAUAGAGGGGGAUAACCACUGGAAACGGUGGCUAAUACCGCAUAACGUCGCAAGACCAAAGAGGGGGACCUUCGGGCCUCUCACUAUCGGAUGAACCCAGAUGGGAUUAGCUAGUAGGCGGGGUAACGGCCCACCUAGGCGACGAUCCCUAGCUGGUCUGAGAGGAUGACCAGCCACACUGGAACUGAGACACGGUCCAGACUCCUACGGGAGGCAGCAGUGGGGAAUAUUGCACAAUGGGCGCAAGCCUGAUGCAGCCAUGCCGCGUGUAUGAAAAAGGCCUUCGGGUUGUAAAGUACUUUCAGCGGGGAGGAAGGCGAUAAGGUUAAUAACCUUGUCGAUUGACGUUACCCGCAGAAGAAGCACCGGCUAACUCCGUGCCAGCAGCCGCGGUAAUACGGAGGGUGCAAGCGUUAAUCGGAAUUACUGGGCGUAAAGCGCACGCAGGCGGUCUGUUAAGUCAGAUGUGAAAUCCCCGGGCUUAACCUGGGAACUGCAUUUGAAACUGGCAGGCUUGAGUCUCGUAGAGGGGGGUAGAAUCCCAGGUGUAGC
This 581-nucleotide ribosomal RNA is filed under the name uncultured bacterium. RNAcentral describes it as "bacterial SSU rRNA". It matches the Rfam family "Bacterial small subunit ribosomal RNA", at positions 102 to 679 of the family's 1533-position model. The record is from RNAcentral.